AUCUUUUUUUGUUUGCCCAAAAGUGGUAAAAACUUAAAUGCACUCCUCUCUCUUAUUUUCCUUGUCCAUUUCGGUUUUCUUACUCUCCAACACACUCCUCCAGCUCUUUCUUCUUCCUCACACCGAAAACACACACCCAAGAGACCCCAUUUCAAAGUUCAACUCCAUUCAAGACAAUAAACCCACACUACUACUACUUCAACUCACCCAAUCUUCCAUUUCUUCAAGCUCUUGUGCAAAAAACGAAAAUAACAUUAUACCAUUCAACUCAAGCACUGUCCAGCCCCAAUAACAUCAUCAAACUCUGGUUCCAAACUAGUUUCAAACAUUAAAACCGAAAUAUGAAAGGAAAGAGCCAAACCCACAACACCCACACAACACCUUAAGCUCUCUUCAACCCAAAACUCACAUAUAACUCCAUUUUCCUCAACCAACCAACCAAAAUGCAAAGAAAACUGUGAAUAACAGUAGCAAUGGAAGAGGAAACAAAAAUCUAAAGUCACUCAAACCCAACAACCACCAUAGAAAAGCAAAGACAAGCUUAAAAGCUCAAGCUUCAAACAUCAAAAACAAGCAAAUGGAAGAAGGA
RNAcentral lists this long non-coding RNA (589 nucleotides) under Vigna radiata. RNAcentral's name for it is "long non-coding RNA (VRAD_LNC014722)". Lineage: Eukaryota; Viridiplantae; Streptophyta; Magnoliopsida; Fabales; Fabaceae. The record is from RNAcentral.